RNAcentral lists this ribosomal RNA (253 nucleotides) under uncultured bacterium. Its description in RNAcentral is "partial 16S ribosomal RNA". It matches the Rfam family "Bacterial small subunit ribosomal RNA", at positions 524 to 776 of the family's 1533-position model. The record is from RNAcentral.
GACGUAGGGUGCAAGCGUUGUCCGGAAUUAUUGGGCGUAAAGAGCUCGUAGGCGGCUUGUCACGUCGGGUGUGAAAGCCCGGGGCUUAACCCCGGGUCUGCAUCCGAUACGGGCAGGCUAGAGUGUGGUAGGGGAGAUCGGAAUUCCUGGUGUAGCGGUGAAAUGCGCAGAUAUCAGGAGGAACACCGGUGGCGAAGGCGGAUCUCUGGGCCAUUACUGACGCUGAGGAGCGAAAGCGUGGGGAGCGAACAGG